CAAAAGUAUUCCUGGAAUCUCAUAUCUUUUCUAGACUUUUCCAAACUCUGAUAACAAGACUGCAGUUCUCCCAAAAAAACAUUCACUUUUUGAACUCUAUUCACAAAUCAGGUCAAAUACUAAAUGUGCAUCCCUAACCUUGGCUGUAUGAAAUGUCUUACUCCUUUCUCUGUUUCCUUUACUUGCCAUCUGGUCUAAAACAACUUUAUUAACCACUUGUACAUACUGGGAAAUGUACUUGUAAUUUUACUAUUUAGCAGCCGUGGACAAUCCAUUACACAUGACAAUGUGACCUGGAGACGGUAGACUUGUAUUAUUUAUGGUCUUGUAAGGGAAUUCAUCAAUUUGGGAUUCUCUGAAGACAUUCUAAAAAUUGCUUUCCUUCUCUACUCUGAAUUGACAAUCCUAAUAUAUGUCCCA
Molecule: non-coding RNA, 420 nt
Organism: Pelobates cultripes (western spadefoot toad)
Lineage: Eukaryota; Metazoa; Chordata; Amphibia; Anura; Pelobatidae
Source: the annotation of a GenBank genome assembly